GAUGAACGCUGGCGGCGUGCUUAACACAUGCAAGUCGAACGGAAAGGCCCUGCUUUUGUGGGGUUCUCGAGUGGCGAACGGGUGAGUAACACGUGAGUAACCUUCCCUUGACUUUGGGAUAACUUCAGGAAACGCGGGCUCCUACCGGAUAGGAGCCCCUGCAUCAUGGUGGGGGUUGGAAAGUAUCGGCGGUCGGGGUUGGACUCGCGGCGUAUCAGCUUGUUGGUGGGGUAGUGGCUUACCAAGCCUAUGACAGGUAGCCUGCCUGAGAGGAUGACCGGCAACGUCGCAACUGAGAUGCGGCACAGACUCGUCCGGGAGGCAGCAGUGGGGAGUAUAACAUUGUGGGAGGAAGCCUGAUGUAGUGCCGCCGCGUGCGGGAAGAGGAGCUUCGGGUUGGAAACCGCUGUCGCAUGUGAAGGAGCGAGAGUGACGGUAACGGGUAAAGAAGCACCGGCUAACUACGUG
RNAcentral lists this ribosomal RNA (468 nucleotides) under uncultured bacterium. RNAcentral describes it as "partial 16S ribosomal RNA". It matches the Rfam family "Bacterial small subunit ribosomal RNA", at positions 28 to 507 of the family's 1533-position model. The record is from RNAcentral.